RNAcentral lists this ribosomal RNA (400 nucleotides) under uncultured bacterium. Its description in RNAcentral is "bacterial SSU rRNA". It matches the Rfam family "Bacterial small subunit ribosomal RNA", at positions 30 to 456 of the family's 1533-position model. The record is from RNAcentral.
AUUGAACGCUGGCGGCAUGGCUAAAACAUGCAAGUCGAACGUGUCCGCAAGGACAAGUGGCGAAAGGGUCAGUAAUGCGAUCGAACGUACCCUGAGGUGGGGGAUAGGGCAGGGAAACUUGCCAUAAUACCCCAUGAUGUUUACGAACCAAAGGUUUACCGCCUUGGGAGCGGCGAUCGUCCUAUCAGCUAGUUGGUGAGGUAACGGCUCACCAAGGCGAAGACGGGUAGCAGGUGUGAGAGCACGACCUGCGACAUCGGGACUGAGACACUGCCCGGACUUCUACGGAAGCUGCAGUAACGAUCUUCCGCAAUGGGNGAAAGCCUNACGGAGCAAUGCCCGCGUGUGGGAUGAAGCGGCUACGCCGUGUAAACCACUGUCAGGGGGUAGAAACAAUGAU